UACAGAGGCCCCAAGCGUUACUGAGAAUCACUGGGUUUAAAGGGUGCGUAGGUGGCGCGUUAAGUCCGUUGUGAAAGCCCUGGGCUCAACCAGGAACUGCUUCGGAUACUGGCGCGCUUGAGGCUAGUAGGGUCACUGGAACUGACGGUGGAGCGGUGAAAUGCGUAGAUAUCGUCAGGAACGCCAAUGGUGAAGACAGGUGACUGGGCUAGUUCUGACACUGAGGCACGAAAGCGUGGGGAGCGAACGGG
RNAcentral lists this ribosomal RNA (251 nucleotides) under uncultured bacterium. RNAcentral's name for it is "partial 16S ribosomal RNA". It matches the Rfam family "Bacterial small subunit ribosomal RNA", at positions 524 to 776 of the family's 1533-position model. The record is from RNAcentral.